This 458-nucleotide ribosomal RNA is filed under the name uncultured bacterium. Its description in RNAcentral is "bacterial SSU rRNA". It matches the Rfam family "Bacterial small subunit ribosomal RNA", at positions 340 to 791 of the family's 1533-position model. The record is from RNAcentral.
UACGGGAGGCAGCAGUGGGGAAUAUUGCACAAUGGGCGCAAGCCUGAUGCAGCCAUGCCGCGUGUAUGAAGAAGGCCUUCGGGUUGUAAAGUACUUUCAGCGGGGAGGAAGGCGGUGAAGUUAAUAGCUUCACCGAUUGACGUUACCCGCAGAAGAAGCACCGGCUAACUCCGUGCCAGCAGCCGCGGUAAUACGGAGGGUGCAAGCGUUAAUCGGAAUUACUGGGCGUAAAGCGCACGCAGGCGGUCUGUCAAGUCGGAUGUGAAAUCCCCGGGCUUAACCUGGGAACUGCAUUCGAAACUGGCAGGCUAGAGUCUUGUAGAGGGGGUAGAAUUCCAGGUGUAGCGGUGAAAUGCGUAGAGAUCUGGAGGAAUACCGGUGGCGAAGGCGGCCCCUGGGACAAAGCUGACGCUCAGGUGCGAAAGCGUGGGGAGCAAACGAGGAUUAGGAUACCCGGU